CUACGGGCUGCUGCAGUGGGGAAUCUUAGGCAAUGGGCGCAAGCCUGAUCUAGCCAUGCCGCGUGAGUGAUGAAGGCCUUAGGGUCGUAAAGCUCUUUCGCUGGGGAAGAUAAUGACGGUACCUGGAGAAUAAGCCCCGGCUAACUUCGUGCCAGCAGCCGCGGUAAUACGAAGGGGGCUAGCGUUGUUCGGAAUUACUGGGCGUAAAGCGCACGUAGGCGGAUUUGUUAGUCAGGGGUGAAAUCCCGGGGCUCAACCUCGGAACUGCCUUUGAUACUGCAAGUCUAGAGUCCGGAAGAGGUGAGUGGAAUUCCUAGUGUAGAGGUGAAAUUCGUAGAUAUUAGGAAGAACACCAGUGGCGAAGGCGGCUCACUGGUCCGGUACUGACGCUGAGGUGCGAAAGCGUGGGGAGCAAACAGGAUUAGAUACCCCAGUAGUC
RNAcentral lists this ribosomal RNA (439 nucleotides) under uncultured bacterium. RNAcentral's name for it is "partial 16S ribosomal RNA". It matches the Rfam family "Bacterial small subunit ribosomal RNA", at positions 339 to 795 of the family's 1533-position model. The record is from RNAcentral.